Daphnia pulex (common water flea) is the source of this 701-nucleotide long non-coding RNA. RefSeq lists it as uncharacterized. NCBI's taxonomy places the organism in Eukaryota, Metazoa, Arthropoda, Branchiopoda, Diplostraca, Daphniidae. The record is from RefSeq and is a predicted model, not a curated record. The transcript has 4 exons.
GCUUUCCAUUUGUUCGAUCAUCAAAGUAAGUUGAAGUUGAAGAUUACAAAGAAAAAUGUGGUGAUCGUGUUCUAUUUAUAGAAACUCUAUGCUGUUUAGCAGAUUUUAGGUAUGAGCCAGCAGUCAUAAACACAAGGUAUUCAAGUUUUGCUUGUGCUGGUAUUUACCUAUCAUCACCAACAAUCUCAGCAUCAUCGCUUGGAUAAACAGCAUCCCUUUUGAUUGGAGAAUCCACAAAUAUUCGGUCGAGUUACAUACCUCUUCUUCCCUAUUAAUUCUCCUCUGUCCUCGUGUACACCCAUGUGAGUGUGGGUGUAUUCACGAGGACUCCCUUUUCCCUAUUCCGUCUGGUGGAUUCAAUCAUCCUGCUGAUUGAGCACUUUUGGAUGCCUGGCUGUAUUUCCCAGGCACAAAGUUGGGUUUUCAACUUUACAAUAGCUGCGCCUCACGAUUUCCAGCGUUUAUUAGCGGAAGGCAACGAUUGGUAUCAAAAACAGGAGCAGAGCGACGAGACUAUUAUAAUGGUCUAUAGCAGUUCAGCGGUGGCUCACUCCGUUGCUUAUAUACGUGAGCUUCAACAAGUGUGUUGGCUCUCCUCUAUUAUUAUGUAUGGCUAUAUAGCAAUUAUUUAUUACAUGGCGACACGAAGAUGUUGGUGGCGCGGAACCGCGCGCUCGCUCGGUUCGCACGUUAUACGGCAG